RNAcentral lists this ribosomal RNA (754 nucleotides) under uncultured bacterium. Its description in RNAcentral is "bacterial SSU rRNA". It matches the Rfam family "Archaeal small subunit ribosomal RNA", at positions 21 to 784 of the family's 1478-position model. The record is from RNAcentral.
CCUGACUGCUAUCGGAUUGAUACUAAGCCAUGCGAGUCAUUGCAGUAAUGCAAGGCAGACGGCUCAGUAACGCGUAGUCAACCUACCCUAUGGACGGGAAUAACCUCGGGAAACUGAGUAUAAUGCCCGAUAGAACACUAUUCCUGGAAUGGUUUGUGUUCCAAAUGAAUGUCGCCGUAGGAUGGGACUGCGGCCUAUCAGUUUGUUGGUGAGGUAAUGGCCCACCAAGACUAUUACAGGUACGGGCUCUGAGAGGAGUAGCCCGGAGAUGGGUACUGAGACACGGACCCAGGCCCUAUGGGGCGCAGCAGGCGAGAAAACUUUGCAAUGUGCGAAAGCACGACAAGGUUAAUCCGAGUGGUUUCUGCUAAAGGAACCUUUUGACAGUCCUAGAAACACUGUUGAAUAAGGGGUGGGCAAGUUCUGGUGUCAGCCGCCGCGGUAAAACCAGCACCUCAAGUGGUCAGGAUGAUUAUUGGGCCUAAAGCAUCCGUAGCCGGCUCUGUUAGUUUUCGGUUAAAUCUGUACGCUCAACGUACAGGCUGCCGGGAAUACUGCAGAGCUAGGGAGUGGGAGAGGUAGACGGUACUCGGUAGGAAGGGGUAAAAUCCUUUGAUCUAUUGAUGACCACCUGUGGCGAAGGCGGUCUACCAGAACACGUCCGACGGUGAGGGAUGAAAGCUGGGGGAGCAAACCGGAUUAGAUACCCGGGUAGUCCCAGCUGUAACUAUGCAAACUCAGUGAUGCAUUGGCU